UACGUAGGGUGCAAGCGUUGUCCGGAAUUAUUGGGCGUAAAGAGCUCGUAGGCGGUCCGUCACGUCGGCUGUGAAAACCUGGGGCUCAACCCCGGGCCUGCAGCCGAUACGGGCGGACUAGAAUUCGGUAGGGGAGACUGGAAUUCCUGGUGUAGCGGUGAAAUGCGCAGAUAUCUGGAGGAACACCGGUGGCGAAGGCGGGUCUCUGGGCCGAUAUUGACGCUGAGGAGCGAAAGCGUGGGGAGCGAACAGG
RNAcentral lists this ribosomal RNA (253 nucleotides) under uncultured bacterium. RNAcentral describes it as "partial 16S ribosomal RNA". It matches the Rfam family "Bacterial small subunit ribosomal RNA", at positions 524 to 776 of the family's 1533-position model. The record is from RNAcentral.